This 398-nucleotide ribosomal RNA is filed under the name uncultured bacterium. RNAcentral describes it as "bacterial SSU rRNA". It matches the Rfam family "Bacterial small subunit ribosomal RNA", at positions 358 to 773 of the family's 1533-position model. The record is from RNAcentral.
GGAAUCUUGGACAAUGGGGGCAACCCUGAUCCAGCCAUGCCGCGUGAGCGAUGAAGGCCUUAGGGUUGUAAAGCUCUUUCACCGGGGAAGAUAAUGACGGUACCCGGCGAAGAAGCACCGGCUAACUCCGUGCCAGCAGCCGCGGUAAGACGGAGGGUGCUAGCGUUGUUCGGAAUCACUGGGCGUAAAGGGCGCGUAGGCGGCUGUGGCAGUCGGGUGUGAAAGCCCGGAGCUCAACUCCGGAACGGCACUCGAGACGCCACGGCUGGAGGCCGGAAGAGGAGGGUGGAAUACCCAGUGUAGAGGUGAAAUUCGUAGAUAUUGGGUGGAACACCGGUGGCGAAAGCGGCUCUCUGGUCCGGACCUGACGCUGAGGCGCGAAAGCGUGGGGAGCAAAC